Molecule: ribosomal RNA, 254 nt
Filed under: uncultured bacterium
Lineage: Bacteria
Description: partial 16S ribosomal RNA
Rfam family: Bacterial small subunit ribosomal RNA
Source: RNAcentral
GACGAACGCUGGCGGCGUGCUUAACACAUGCAAGUCGAGGGGGCACCUUUCGGGGUGUCACCGGCGAACGGGUGCGUAACACGUGAGCGACCUGCCCGUCUGCGGGGGAUAGCCGGCCCAACGGCCGGGUAAUACCGCAUACGCCACCUGGGGGGCGAUCCUUCGGGUGGGAAACUUACUGGGGCGGGACGGAGGGGCGUCGCGGCCUAUCAGCUCGUUGGCGAGGUAACGGCUCACCAAGGCGAUGACGGGUA